UUGGAGAAGUUUGAUCCUGGCUCAGAACGAACGCUGGCGGCAGGCUUAACACAUGCAAGUCGAACGCCCCGCAAGGGGAGUGGCAGACGGGUGAGUAACGCGUGGGAACAUACCCUUUCCUGCGGAAUAGCUCCGGGAAACUGGAAUUAAUACCGCAUACGCCCUACGGGGGAAAGAUUUAUCGGGGAAGGAUUGGCCCGCGUUGGAUUAGCUAGUUGGUGGGGUAAAGGCCUACCAAGGCGACGAUCCAUAGCUGGUCUGAGAGGAUGAUCAGCCACAUUGGGACUGAGACACGGCCCAAACUCCUACGGGAGGCAGCAGUGGGGAAUAUUGGACAAUGGGCGCAAGCCUGAUCCAGCCAUGCCGCGUGAGUGAUGAAGGCCUUAGGGUUGUAAAGCUCUUUCACCGAUGAAGAU
This 416-nucleotide ribosomal RNA is filed under the name Agrobacterium tumefaciens. Its description in RNAcentral is "bacterial SSU rRNA". It matches the Rfam family "Bacterial small subunit ribosomal RNA", at positions 1 to 449 of the family's 1533-position model. Lineage: Bacteria; Pseudomonadati; Pseudomonadota; Alphaproteobacteria; Hyphomicrobiales; Rhizobiaceae. The record is from RNAcentral.